AGAGCCGGCCAGACGGUCGCGUCCGGUAUGCCGCGCGGCAUACCGGCCGAGGAAGGUCCGGACUCCACAGGGCAAGGUGAUGGCUAACGGCCACCCGGGGCGACCCGCGGGACAGUGCCACAGAGAGCAGACCGCCCCACCUUCGGGUGGGGUAAGGGUGAAAGGGUGGUGUAAGAGACCACCAGCGGCCUGGGCGACCAGACCGGCUCGGUAAACCCCACCUGGAGCAAGCCCAGAUAUGCGUGCGUUCGACGGCGGCCCGCCGGAGCACGCGGGUAGGGCGCUCGAGCCCGCCGGCAACGGCGGGCCUAGAUGGAUGACCGUCACCGCACCUGCGGCAACGCGGAUGCGGCACAGAAUCCGGCCUAUCGGCCGGCUCUUCCU
This is a non-coding RNA of 384 nucleotides. It matches the Rfam family "Bacterial RNase P class A". Rfam says of the family: Ribonuclease P (RNase P) is a ubiquitous endoribonuclease, found in archaea, bacteria and eukarya as well as chloroplasts and mitochondria. The record is from Rfam.